This 253-nucleotide ribosomal RNA is filed under the name uncultured bacterium. RNAcentral's name for it is "partial 16S ribosomal RNA". It matches the Rfam family "Bacterial small subunit ribosomal RNA", at positions 524 to 776 of the family's 1533-position model. The record is from RNAcentral.
UACGUAGGGUGCGAGCGUUGUCCGGAAUUAUUGGGCGUAAAGGGCUCGUAGGCGGUUUGUCGCGUCGGGAGUGAAAACCAGGUGCUUAACACCUGGCUUGCUUUCGAUACGGGCAGACUAGAGGUAUGCAGGGGAGAACGGAAUUCCUGGUGUAGCGGUGAAAUGCGCAGAUAUCAGGAGGAACACCGGUGGCGAAGGCGGCUCGCUGGGACGGUAUUGACGCUAAGGCGCGAAAGCGUGGGGAGCAAACAGG